Molecule: non-coding RNA, 276 nt
Organism: Callorhinus ursinus (northern fur seal)
Lineage: Eukaryota; Metazoa; Chordata; Mammalia; Carnivora; Otariidae
Source: RefSeq, a predicted model, not a curated record
GUGGAACUCCUGAAUGCAAGCAGCAUUGGGUCUCAGAGCCAGAUGGCUGCAUCCUCUAGAAGGGCUAUGGAUGCGUGAUGUGUCAUGUGAGAACUCCCCUGCCUGCUCCCACCUGGACAAGACCCCCUGAAUGCAUCUUUGUUCAAAUCUUCCCCAGGAAGGUCGAGAAUCCCAAGGUGGCACCUCAUUGAGAAAAUGGCAGUGUCUCAGUAAGUGACAAGAGCUGGUCCUUACUCAGGAAGUUCAGAUGACGAAAAUCCCAGUGCAUAAUCGUGC